UACUGUUUGAUUGGAUUUUGUGAAAUGUGU
This 30-nucleotide non-coding RNA is filed under the name Mus musculus (house mouse). Lineage: Eukaryota; Metazoa; Chordata; Mammalia; Rodentia; Muridae. The record is from RNAcentral.